UACGUAGGGCGCGAGCGUUGUCCGGAAUUAUUGGGCGUAAAGAGCUCGUAGGCGGCCUGUUGCGUCCGCUGUGAAAUCCCAGGGCUCAACCCUGGGCGUGCAGUGGAUACGGGCAGGCUGGAGGCAGGCAGGGGAGAACGGAAUUCCCGGUGUAGCGGUGAAAUGCGCAGAUAUCAGGAGGAACACCAAUGGCGAAGGCAGCUCGCUGGGACGGUACUGACGCUGGAGACGCGAAAGCGUGGGGAGCAAACAGG
Molecule: ribosomal RNA, 254 nt
Filed under: uncultured bacterium
Lineage: Bacteria
Description: partial 16S ribosomal RNA
Rfam family: Bacterial small subunit ribosomal RNA
Source: RNAcentral